AUGGACUCAGAUGACGAGGAAGUGCUCGCCGCGCCGCUGGAGGAGGAAGCCGAGACCGACGUCCAGGAAGAAGAGCAUCUCAUGGUGCUCGCCGCCCUCGCCCAGCUGCUGGCGAGCAAUGAAAAGCCGCGACGAGGUGGCUCGGCGCCGGGGCGGGUGAAAGCAAAGAACCGGCAUCGUCUCGAAGGCUACUGCAUGCUCUACUCCAACUACUUCGCCGAUGCUCCACUUCACGCCGACAGAACAUUUUGGCGUCGUUAUCGGAUGAGCAGAAAGCUUUUCAUUCGGAUUGUGAAUUCCAUCCGGGAGUUUGACAACUACUUCAAAUGCAAGAUGGAUUGCACCGUACAGUUGAAUUCACCUCCAUCCAGAAAUGCACGACAACAAUGA
This 390-nucleotide ribosomal RNA is filed under the name Triticum aestivum (bread wheat). Its description in RNAcentral is "partial small subunit ribosomal RNA". Lineage: Eukaryota; Viridiplantae; Streptophyta; Magnoliopsida; Poales; Poaceae. The record is from RNAcentral.